RNAcentral lists this transfer RNA (83 nucleotides) under Felis catus (domestic cat). It matches the Rfam family "tRNA". Rfam says of the family: Transfer RNA (tRNA) molecules are approximately 80 nucleotides in length. Their secondary structure includes four short double-helical elements and three loops (D, anti-codon, and T loops). The record is from Rfam by way of RNAcentral. Lineage: Eukaryota; Metazoa; Chordata; Mammalia; Carnivora; Felidae.
GCCUGGGUGGCUCAGUCGGUUAAGCGUCCGACUUCAGCUCCGGUCAUGAUCACGGUUCGUGGGUUUGAGCCCCACGUCAGGCU